UACGUAGGGUGCGAGCGUUGUCCGGAAUUACUGGGCGUAAAGGGUUUGUAGGUGGUCUGCUAAGUCAGACGUGAAAUCCCUCAGCUUAACUGGGGAACUGCGUCUGAUACUGGCGGACUUGAGGACAGGAGAGGAACGCGGAAUUCCAGGUGUAGCGGUGAAAUGCGUAGAUAUCUGGAGGAACACCGGUGGCGAAGGCGGCGUUCUGGACUGUUUCUGACACUGAAAAACGAAAGCCAGGGGAGCAAACGGG
This 253-nucleotide ribosomal RNA is filed under the name uncultured bacterium. Its description in RNAcentral is "partial 16S ribosomal RNA". It matches the Rfam family "Bacterial small subunit ribosomal RNA", at positions 524 to 776 of the family's 1533-position model. The record is from RNAcentral.